CCGUUUACAAUGGGUGGACUAACAAACAUGUAAUUUUAACCAGACAAGUUUGACGUAUAGAAACAGAGGGAUUAAGAAGCCCUGCUCAAUGAGCUUACAGGCUAGAGGGAGUGGGGUAAAGUGACACAAAAGGUAAGGGGAGUAUUAGGGAAGUAGAUUGGUAGAAUAGUAUUCAAUGAAGACCGUGUGGUUUUCUUUGGAGCCAUGACAGUUUAAUUGAUAUGCUUUUGUGAAAAAGAGCAUUUUUUUAAUGAUUUUUUUUUAAUGAGUGGAGACUGGGUGAGUGCUUAACGGAAAACGAAAGGGAGACAAUGAAUGGGAG
Pelobates cultripes (western spadefoot toad) is the source of this 322-nucleotide non-coding RNA. Lineage: Eukaryota; Metazoa; Chordata; Amphibia; Anura; Pelobatidae. The record is from the annotation of a GenBank genome assembly.